RNAcentral lists this small nucleolar RNA (75 nucleotides) under Capsella rubella. Its description in RNAcentral is "Small nucleolar RNA snoR53Y". It matches the Rfam family "Small nucleolar RNA snoR53Y". The record is from Rfam by way of RNAcentral. Lineage: Eukaryota; Viridiplantae; Streptophyta; Magnoliopsida; Brassicales; Brassicaceae.
AUUCCCUAUGAUGGUAUUAACCAUGCUAAUACUGAUUGUCUUGUGACUGAAUCAAUGUUAUUGUCUGAGGGAAUC